CACAAACUAAGGAUGGUAGAUAAUAAUUCAUAUAAAUAUUUUAGGACAUUUAAUCUAUUUUAAUAGAAAUAGGAUUUAAAAACUGCAAACAAAUUUAAUCAUUACAUAAUCAGCUGAUAUUUUUUUUACACAAACAUCGUGUUGAUGGAACUGUUGAAAAUCACUUCACAAAUCCAACAGCCCUUUCACACAGUUAGCAAUUGUCAGGGUUAUAAACAUCUCAGGAUACAAAUCAUAUAGUAGACUAAUUUAUUUAUAGAGGUUUUAAAUUCAUGGCUUUUGGUUGUCUCUACAAAGGUUUGACAGAGAAAAAAAAGAUAUACUGUUUUAAGAUCUUUUAAUAUUUUCAUGCAAAUUCGGAUAAAAAAAAAAAAAAAAGAAUUUGCCUACCUACCUACCCACACCCAGUCAUCAUGGGUCGGGUUUGG
This 428-nucleotide long non-coding RNA is filed under the name Mytilus galloprovincialis (Mediterranean mussel). Lineage: Eukaryota; Metazoa; Mollusca; Bivalvia; Mytilida; Mytilidae. The record is from RNAcentral.